CCACUAGAGAGUGAGAAAUAUAAGGUUGACAAAUAAAGUAAAACAAUGUUUGUGAUACGUUCAGAAUUUUAUUACUUCAAAACAAACCUUAAAACUAAUAAAUGAUACCUUUUAUUACAGCUUCCGUAACUUAGGACCACUUUGGUAUUACAGUUGAAGACCAGAAUUGUUUUUUUAUCGAUCGAAAUGACCGGGACCUUAACGAGAAAUUACCCAUUUAAUGAAGUGCCUAUUUCAUGAAAUGGUGGCAUUUAAUGAUAUGGCCAGGUCGUAUUUAAUUAGCAAAUAUAUUAACUAAAAAUAACGCUUGCUGUAAGCGCCUAUGGUUAGGAUGUCCGCUUCCUAAUCGGAGGUCGGGGGUUCGACUCCUGGUACGCACCUCUAACUUUUCGGAGUUAUGUGUGUUUUAAGCAAUCAAAUAUCAAUUGGCAUCGUCAAAUCCAUUAACACACUUUCUGGCCAACUGAGUUGUUUGAUAUGAUAUGGAAUAAAUUGCCCAAAAAUGUGGUUAUGUCAAGCUCUGUUCAAGAAUAAUUAGGACAAACAUUUGGAAAACUCUAAGCACUUCUGAUAUAAUAAUAAAAAUAUCACUUGCAUUAACGGUGAUGGAAAACAUCAUGAGGAAACCUGCAAGCUUGAGAGGUCUCCAAAAUGUUCUCAAAGGUGUAUGAAGUCUACCAAUUUGCACUCGGCCAGCAUGG
Long non-coding RNA from Maniola jurtina (meadow brown), 701 nucleotides. RefSeq lists it as uncharacterized. NCBI's taxonomy places the organism in Eukaryota, Metazoa, Arthropoda, Insecta, Lepidoptera, Nymphalidae. The transcript is spliced from 2 exons. The record is from RefSeq and is a predicted model, not a curated record.